Non-coding RNA from Triticum aestivum (bread wheat), 135 nucleotides. The record is from Rfam. Lineage: Eukaryota; Viridiplantae; Streptophyta; Magnoliopsida; Poales; Poaceae.
CAACUACUCCGUUUGUCCCAAAUUUCUUGUCUUAGAUUUGUCUAGAUACGGAUGUAUCUAAUACUAAAAUGUGACUUGAUACAUCCGUAUCUAGACAAAUCUAAGACAAGAAUUUUGGGACGGAGGGAGUACUUU